Molecule: ribosomal RNA, 505 nt
Filed under: uncultured bacterium
Lineage: Bacteria
Description: bacterial SSU rRNA
Rfam family: Bacterial small subunit ribosomal RNA
Source: RNAcentral
GAUGAACGCUAGCUACAGGCUUAACACAUGCAAGUCGAGGGGAAACGAUAUUGGAAGCUUGCUUCUGAUAGGCGUCGACCGGCGCACGGGUGAGUAACGCGUAUCCAACCUGCCCAUCACUUGGGGAUAACCUUGCGAAAGUAAGACUAAUACCCAAUGACGUCUCUAGAAGACAUCUGAAAGAGAUUAAAGAUUUAUCGGUGAUGGAUGGGGAUGCGUCUGAUUAGCUUGUUGGCGGGGUAACGGCCCACCAAGGCGACGAUCAGUAGGGGUUCUGAGAGGAAGGUCCCCCCACAUUGGAACUGAGACACGGUCCAAACUCCUACGGGAGGCAGCAGUGAGGAAUAUUGGUCAAUGGGCAGAGCCUGAACCAGCCAAGUAGCGUGAAGGAUGAAGGUCCUACGGAUUUGGUAAAACUUCUUUUAUACGGGAAUAAAGUAUCCUACGUGUAGGAUUUUUGAUGUACCGUAUGAAUAGCAUCGGCUAACUCCGUAGCCAGCAGCCG